This 716-nucleotide ribosomal RNA is filed under the name uncultured bacterium. Its description in RNAcentral is "bacterial SSU rRNA". It matches the Rfam family "Bacterial small subunit ribosomal RNA", at positions 69 to 762 of the family's 1533-position model. The record is from RNAcentral.
CUUCUUUCCUCCCGAGUGCUUGCACUCAAUUGGAAAGAGGAGUGGCGGACGGGUGAGUAACACGUGGGUAACCUACCCAUCAGAGGGGGAUAACACUUGGAAACAGGUGCUAAUACCGCAUAACAGUUUAUGCCGCAUGGCAUAAGAGUGAAAGGCGCUUUCGGGUGUCGCUGAUGGAUGGACCCGCGGUGCAUUAGCUAGUUGGUGAGGUAACGGCUCACCAAGGCCACGAUGCAUAGCCGACCUGAGAGGGUGAUCGGCCACACUGGGACUGAGACACGGCCCAGACUCCUACGGGAGGCAGCAGUAGGGAAUCUUCGGCAAUGGACGAAAGUCUGACCGAGCAACGCCGCGUGAGUGAAGAAGGUUUUCGGAUCGUAAAACUCUGUUGUUAGAGAAGAACAAGGACGUUAGUAACUGAACGUCCCCUGACGGUAUCUAACCAGAAAGCCACGGCUAACUACGUGCCAGCAGCCGCGGUAAUACGUAGGUGGCAAGCGUUGUCCGGAUUUAUUGGGCGUAAAGCGAGCGCAGGCGGUUUCUUAAGUCUGAUGUGAAAGCCCCCGGCUCAACCGGGGAGGGUCAUUGGAAACUGGGAGACUUGAGUGCAGAAGAGGAGAGUGGAAUUCCAUGUGUAGCGGUGAAAUGCGUAGAUAUAUGGAGGACACCAGUGGCGAGGCGGCUCUUGGUCUGUACUGACGCUGAGCUCGAAGCGU